AGUGGCAGACGGGUGAGUAACGCGUGAACAUGUGCCUUUUUUCUGGGGAUACCGUUUGGAAACGAACGUUAAUACCGAAUGUGGCGGCAUCGUUAAACUGUUAGGGAGAAAAGAGCAGUUCGCGUUCUAUCAGCUAGAUGGUGGGGUAACGGCCUACCAUGGCUACGACGGAUAGCUGGUCUGAGAGGAUGAUCAGCCACACUGGAACUGAGACACGGUCCAGACUCCCACGGGAGGCAGCAGUGAGGAAUCUUGCACAAUGGGCGAAAGCCUGAUGCAGCGACGCCGCGUGAGGGACGACGGCCUUCGGGUUGUAAACCUCUGUCAGUAGGGAAGAAGAUUGACGGUACCUACUGAGGAAGCUUCGGCUAACUACGUGCCAGCAGCCGCGGUAAGACGUAGGGAGCAAGCGUUGCCCGGAAUUACUGGGCGUAAAGAGCUCGUAGGCGGGGGCGUGCGUCUGAGAGGAAAUCUCAAGGCUUAACCUUGGGGCUGUCUCAGAUACGGCGCUUCUUGAGGAUGUGAGAGGAAAGUGGAAUUUCCGGUGUAGCGGUGAAUGCGUAGAUAUCGGAAGGAACACCAGUGGCGAACGCGACUUCUGGGCACAUUCCUGACGCUGAGAGCGAAAGCGUGGGUAGCGGACGGAUAGAUACCCAGUAGUCCACGCCGA
RNAcentral lists this ribosomal RNA (670 nucleotides) under uncultured bacterium. RNAcentral's name for it is "bacterial SSU rRNA". It matches the Rfam family "Bacterial small subunit ribosomal RNA", at positions 94 to 803 of the family's 1533-position model. The record is from RNAcentral.